Long non-coding RNA from Bos taurus (domestic cattle), 275 nucleotides. Lineage: Eukaryota; Metazoa; Chordata; Mammalia; Artiodactyla; Bovidae. The record is from Ensembl.
AACAAACCAAAAAUCUUAUCCAAUUAGAUGGACAGCAUUUAGAAAAAGCCUGAGAAAUGACAGCAUUAUUUGAAAAUGGAAAGCAGGAAUCAAGGAAGAAAGAAAAUAGACUCGCAGAAUACCAGUUCUCCUUCUGGUUCUAGCAACCCAGUGGGUGACUGUGGGUUCUUUGCCUCAAGCUGGACCAAAUGGUUCCUCUUUUUUAGUUUUGACUUAAGCAUAUUAUGUAAGCAGUUGUCUUAAUAUUAUACCUGAUUGACAAAUUUCAUUCUUAA